Molecule: ribosomal RNA, 483 nt
Filed under: uncultured bacterium
Lineage: Bacteria
Description: partial 16S ribosomal RNA
Rfam family: Bacterial small subunit ribosomal RNA
Source: RNAcentral
ACUCAAAGGAAUUGACGGGGGCCCGCACAAGCAGCGGAGCGUGUGGUUUAAUUCGAUGCAACGCGAAGAACCUUACCGGGGUUUGACAUGUAUGGGAAAGCCCUAGAGAUAGGGCCCUCCUUCGGGAUCCAUGCACAGGUGCUGCAUGGCUGUCGUCAGCUCGUGCCGUGAGGUGUUGGGUUAAGUCCCGCAACGAGCGCAACCCUCGUCGCUAGUUGCUUUUUUCUAGCGAGACUGCUGCGCAAAACGCAGAGGAAGGUGGGGAUGACGUCAAGUCAUCAUGGCCUUUAUGCCCCGGGCUACACACACGCUACAAUGGGCGGUACAGACGGUUGCGAAGCCGCGAGGUGGAGCUAAUCCGAGAAAACCGUCCUCAGUUCAGAUUGCAGGCUGAAACUCGCCUGCAUGAAGGCGGAGUUGCUAGUAACCGCAGGUCAGCACACUGCGGUGAAUACGUUCCCGGGCCUUGUACACACCGCCCGU